AAAAGAAAGUUAGCUUCAAUAGUCUUUCACUUAAAAGACGCCAAGGGCACUUUUCGCACGUAGCAUCUCGAUUGCUGUUGCAACGGCAGUAAAACUAGCUACACGACUGCGUUUCCUUCAUCCUACCGAGGCACAAGCUUCAGGUUCGUCGGUGUUGGCGUUGGACUGCUACUGCAGGAUCUACUCAAUGCCCGAUGAGGUUCGACGCUUAGGAAACUCUUGUCGCUGGUUGGUGGAGCAGAGACGACUUCCGGUUCGGCCGGACUGGGACACCGUCUUUGCGAACAAUUCGACAGAGUGCUUCUGGACAAUGUUUGCAGCGGUAUUUGAUAGAUUCUUAUUGGUUUCCAUUCACCAUGAUUGUCUGUGAAAGUAAAGGGCAGCACUGUUAUUAGUUCGGGACGAUGACGAAGAUUGUGUGAAAGGAGAUGGACUGGAAACCGGUUCUUCUUUGUCCGCAGGCUUUGUGUCCAGCCGGAUUCUUUCGCAUUUGCCUGGUAGAAAUUCCGGGGCUGUCGUCGAGAAGAAGAUAUCUUGUUUGGAUGUGAACAGAUUCAAAUUGGGCAUUGCGAUCGUAUGCACCAGGUUUCCAUUGAUGAUUAACCGUAUCUCCAUGGUAUCGUUAGUGAAGGCAAUUAUAUAAGGAAAGGCACAAGCUGAAAAUUGACCACCACUAAGACAUACCGUGCCGUCCACGGGAGAACCUUUGUGCCCUCCAAGCUGAUGCUUCUCAACUCGUAUUUGGUCCUGUGCCGAAGCGGUGAACCAGGUACGGCGGUGGUCGUGUGGAGAACGUUCCUCAUGCUCUUCGAACUGGUUCCAGUAAGCGCGUGUCUCCUACCGGAUGCACCAUCUCUCGUCGACUGAUUCGUAGAUCUUCUCAGGGAACUCAUCUCCGAUAUCAAGAUUUCUCACCAGGUGUACUUCUGAACUAUUAAGGCUACUAGAAAGCAUCGCAAGAACCGUCGAAGUUUCAUGUCGAAUUUUUACCUCGAAGCCACCAGUCCGAACGUGACAACUACGGAUUCGAAUUGCGACUUCAUCGUACGUUCGGUUGCCAAGGUUUUUGCCGUUGGGCCGACGGACAACUGAACCGUUGGAUGAACCGGCAACCAUAAAUGACUGCGCCACCUUUCAACCCCACCAUCCAGCAGGUCGCCACCAUAACUGGUCGCAAGCAUCGUAUUUUGCUAACCCCUCCCCAUCGCCACUCUCAUCGAUGCUUUCCUCUGAUCGUUGGACUUUUUUUUCCCGGCCGAUACCCUCUUUACAACUAACGUGCUUCGCUGAUUCGGGAUCGAUCUGCGACAGAUCCGCGCGGCAUCGGUUACCACCUAUGUACCUGCCUCGCGCGAUCAAGCGAAAACAAGGAUACUUUCGCGCGUUCUUGCGUUACUUAAACUCUGCUCGAGGCUCGCUUUUAUUAUUACAAGACGAACCUUAGGAAUUGAACUUUUUUUUAGUAAUUAGCCAGUAAUUAAUUAAUUAUAACGAUUUUAUUGUCUGAAACUCGGUCGGCGGGUAUUACAUGUCGGGAUUUCCGACAGUUUUCUCGGUCCUGAUGAUCAAUUUCUGUAGUUUAACGAUUACAGAAUAAAGAAUAGCAUCUUACUUUC
Osmia lignaria (orchard mason bee) is the source of this 1616-nucleotide long non-coding RNA. RefSeq lists it as uncharacterized. The record is from RefSeq and is a predicted model, not a curated record. NCBI's taxonomy places the organism in Eukaryota, Metazoa, Arthropoda, Insecta, Hymenoptera, Megachilidae.